GACGACGCUGGCGGCGUGGAUUAGGCAUGCAAGUCGAACGGUAUCAUCCUUCGGGGGUGAGAGAGUGGCGAACUGGUGAGUAACACGUAGGUUAUCUACCCUCAAGACGGGGGACAACCCAGGGAAACUUGGGCUAAUACCGGAUGUGAGCAACUUUUAGUUGUUUGAAAGGUGGCGUAAGCUGUCGCUUGGGGAUGAGCCUGCGUCCUAUUAGUUAGUUGGUGAGGUAACGGCUCACCUAGGCAAUGAUAGGUAGGCGGCCUUAACGGGUGGUCGCCCACACUGGGAUUGAGAUACGGCCCAGACUCCUACGGGAGGCAGCAGUCGAGAAUAGUCUACAAUGGUCGGAAGACUGAUAGUGCGACGCCGCGUGAACGAUGAAUCCCUUCGGGGUGUAAAGUUCUUUUAUAUGUGAGCAGUGCUUCUUAUAUUAACAGUAUGGGAGAGAGAUAUUAGCAUAUGAAUAAGCAACGGCUAACUCCGUG
Molecule: ribosomal RNA, 485 nt
Filed under: uncultured bacterium
Lineage: Bacteria
Description: bacterial SSU rRNA
Rfam family: Bacterial small subunit ribosomal RNA
Source: RNAcentral